Molecule: ribosomal RNA, 253 nt
Filed under: uncultured bacterium
Lineage: Bacteria
Description: partial 16S ribosomal RNA
Rfam family: Bacterial small subunit ribosomal RNA
Source: RNAcentral
UACGUAUGAGGCAAGCGUUAUCCGGAAUUACUGGGCGUAAAGCGCGCGCAGGCGGAUGUUUAAGUAGGGUGUGAAAUCUCCCGGCCUAACUGGGAGGGGUCGCUCUAGACUGGGCGUCUUGAGGACUGCAGAGGUGGGUGGAAUUCCUGGUGUAGUGGUGAAAUGCGUAGAGAUCAGGAGGAACACCGGUGGCGAAGGCGGCCCACUGGGCAGUCACUGACGCUGAGGCGCGAAAGCUCGGGGAGCGAACGGG